UCAAGUAAUUAAGUGCAUGUGGUGGAUGCCUUGGCAGUCAGAGGCGAUGAAAGACGUGAUAGCCUGCGAAAAGCUCCGGGGAGGCGGCAAAUAUCCUUUGAUCCGGAGAUGUCUGAAUGGGGGAACCCACCUACUUUAAGGUAGGUAUUGCAACAUGAAUACAUAGUGUUGCAAGGCGAACGAGGGGAAGUGAAACAUCUCAGUACCCUUAGGAAAGAAAUCAAUUGAGAUUCCCUCAGUAGCGGCGAGCGAACGGGGAUCAGCCCAUUAAGUUAUGUGUUUUAGUGGAACGCUCUGGGAAGUGCGAACGUAGAGGGUGAUAUUCCCGUACACGAAAGGGCACACAUAAUGAUGACGAGUAGGGCGAGGCACGUGAAACCUUGUCUGAAUAUGGGGACCAUCCUCCAAGGCUAAAUACCUGACUGACCGAUAGUGAACCAGUACCGUGAGGGAAAGGCGAAAAGAACCCUGUGAGGGGAGUGAAAUAGAUCCUGAAACCGCAUGCAUACAAGCAGUGGGAGCACCUUCGUGGUGUGACUGCGUACCUUUUUGUAUAAUGGGUCAGCGACUUAUAUUCAGUAGCGAGGUUAACCGUAUAGGGGAGCCGUAGAGAAAUCGAGUCUUAAUAGGGCGUUUAGUUGCUGGGUAUAGACCCGAAACCAGGCGAUCUAUCCAUGAGCAGGUUGAAGGUUGGGUAACACUAACUGGAGGACCGAACCCACUGUCGUUGAAAAGCCAGGGGAUGACUUGUGGAUAGGGGUGAAAGGCUAAUCAAGCCUGGUGAUAGCUGGUUCUCCCCGAAAGCUAUUUAGGUAGCGCCUCGGACGAAUACCAUAGGGGGUAGAGCACUGUUUCGGCUAGGGGGUCAUCCCGACUUACCAAACCGAUGCAAACUCCGAAUACCUAUGAGUACUAUCCGGGAGACAGACUGCGGGUGCUAACGUCCGUAGUCAAGAGGAAAACAAUCCAGACCGCCAGCUAAGGCCCCAAAAUCAUAGUUAAGUGGGAAACGAUGUGGGAAGGCAUAGACAGCUAGGAGGUUGGCUUAGAAGCAGCCACCCUUUAAAGAAAGCGUAAUAGCUCACUAGUCGAGUCGGCCUGCGCGGAAGAUGUAACGGGCUAAAACUAUGUGCCGAAGCUGCGGAUGUAUACUUUGUAUACGUGGUAGGGGAGCGUUCUGUAAGCCGAUGAAGGUGUGUUGAGAAGCAUGCUGGAGGUAUCAGAAGUGCGAAUGCUGACGUGAGUAACGACAAAACGGGUGAAAAACCCGUUCGCCGAAAGACCAAGGGUUCCAGUCCAACGUUAAUCGGGGCUGGGUGAGUCGACCCCUAAGGCGAGGCCGAAAGGCGUAGUCGAUGGGAAAAUGGUUAAUAUUCCAUUACUUCUGUGUAAUGCGAUGAGAGGACGGAGAAGGCUAAAUCAGCCUGGCGUUGGUUGUCCAGGUGAAAGGAUGUAGGCAUGUAUCUUAGGCAAAUCCGGGGUACUCUAUGCUGAGAUCUGAUAGCAAGCUGUACUUGUACAGCGAAGUGGUUGAUGCCAUGCUUCCAGGAAAAGUCUCUAAGCUUCAGUUACACAGGAAUCGUACCCGAAACCGACACAGGUGGUCAGGUCGAGUAGACCAAGGCGCUUGAGAGAACUCUGCUGAAGGAACUAGGCAAAAUGGUACCGUAACUUCGGGAGAAGGUACGCUGUUGUUGGUGAUGGAACUCGCUUCCUGAGCUGACGACAGCCGCAGAAACCAGGCCGCUGCAACUGUUUAUUAAAAACAUAGCACUCUGCAAACACGAAAGUGGACGUAUAGGGUGUGAUGCCUGCCCGGUGCUGGAAGGUUAAUUGAUGGGGUUAGCGUAAGCGAAGCUCUUGAUCGAAGCCCCAGUAAACGGCGGCCGUAACUAUAACGGUCCUAAGGUAGCGAAAUUCCUUGUCGGGUAAGUUCCGACCUGCACGAAUGGCAUAAUGAUGGCGGCGCUGUCUCCAGCAGAGGCUCAGUGAAAUCGAAAUCGCUGUGAAGAUGCAGUGUACCCGCGGCUGACGGAAAGACCCCGUGAACCUUUACUGCAGCUUGACACUGAACUUUGACCUUACUUGUGUAGGAUAGGUGGGAGGCUUUGAAGCUGGAACGCUAGUUCCAGUGGAGCCGUCCUUGAAAUACCACCCUGGUAAUGUUGAGGUUCUAACUCUGUCCCGUGAUCCGGGACGAGGACCGUGUCUGGUGGGUAGUUUGACUGGGGCGGUCUCCUAAAGAGUAACGGAGGAGUACGAAGGUGCGCUCAGCGUGGUCGGAAAUCACGCGUAGAGUAUAAAGGCAAAAGCGCGCUUAACUGCGAGACCCACAAGUCGAGCAGGUACGAAAGUAGGUCUUAGUGAUCCGGUGGUUCUGUAUGGAAGGGCCAUCGCUCAACGGAUAAAAGGUACUCUGGGGAUAACAGGCUGAUACCGCCCAAGAGUUCAUAUCGACGGCGGUGUUUGGCACCUCGAUGUCGGCUCAUCUCAUCCUGGGGCUGAAGCAGGUCCCAAGGGUAUGGCUGUUCGCCAUUUAAAGAGGUACGCGAGCUGGGUUUAGAACGUCGUGAGACAGUUCGGUCCCUAUCUACCGUGGGCGCUGGAAAUUUGAGAGGAUCUGCUCCUAGUACGAGAGGACCAGAGUGGACGAACCUCUGGUGUACCGGUUGUGACGCCAGUCGCAUCGCCGGGUAGCUAUGUUCGGAAGGGAUAACCGCUGAAAGCAUCUAAGCGGGAAGCCUACCUCAAGAUAAGAUUUCCCUAGGACUUUAUGUCCUCUAAAGAGCCGUUCGAGACUAGGACGUUGAUAGGUUGGAUGUGGAAGCAUAGUGAUAUGUGAAGCUGACCAAUACUAAUUGCUCGUGAGGCUUGACUA
RNAcentral lists this ribosomal RNA (2878 nucleotides) under Acinetobacter baumannii. RNAcentral's name for it is "bacterial LSU rRNA". It matches the Rfam family "Bacterial large subunit ribosomal RNA". The record is from RNAcentral. Lineage: Bacteria; Pseudomonadati; Pseudomonadota; Gammaproteobacteria; Moraxellales; Moraxellaceae.